GCCGGGGUGAUGGAACCGGUAGACAUGGUCGCCUCAAAAGCGACUGCGCGUGAGCGCGUGCGGGUUCGAGUCCCGCCCCCGGCA
RNAcentral lists this transfer RNA (84 nucleotides) under bacterium HR12. It matches the Rfam family "tRNA". From Rfam's summary of the family: Transfer RNA (tRNA) molecules are approximately 80 nucleotides in length. RNAcentral also lists the same sequence under 1 other name. The record is from Rfam by way of RNAcentral.